GGCGAUGUAGCUCAAUGGCAGAGCACCGGACUCAUAAGCCGUAGGUUACUGGUUCGAAUCCAGUCAUCGCCACCA
Molecule: transfer RNA, 75 nt
Filed under: Ardenticatenales bacterium
Lineage: Bacteria; Bacillati; Chloroflexota; Ardenticatenia; Ardenticatenales
Also listed under: 1 other name
Description: tRNA-Met
Rfam family: tRNA
About the family: Transfer RNA (tRNA) molecules are approximately 80 nucleotides in length.
Source: RNAcentral